Molecule: ribosomal RNA, 308 nt
Filed under: uncultured eukaryote
Lineage: Eukaryota
Description: partial 18S ribosomal RNA
Rfam family: Eukaryotic small subunit ribosomal RNA
Source: RNAcentral
CCCUUAGACGUUCUGGGCCGCACGCGCGCUACACUGACGAAGGCAACGAGCUUUCCUUUACCGAAAGGUACGGGUAAUCUUUUGAAACUUCGUCGUGCUGGGGAUAGAUCCUUGCAAUUAUUGAUCUUAAACGAGGAAUUCCUAGUAAGCGCAAGUCAUCAACUUGCGUUGAUUACGUCCCUGCCCUUUGUACACACCGCCCGUCGCUACUACCGAUUGAAUGGUUUAGUGAGGCCUUCGGAUCCGCGACCCGUUUUGUGGAGAAGUUGGACAAACUCAGUCAUUUAGAGGAAGUAAAAGUCGUAACA